RNAcentral lists this unclassified non-coding RNA (17 nucleotides) under Mus musculus (house mouse). RNAcentral's name for it is "oocyte_clustered_small_RNA12706". The record is from RNAcentral. Lineage: Eukaryota; Metazoa; Chordata; Mammalia; Rodentia; Muridae.
AGCUGGGUCAUCUAACU